UUUAGGAAAAAAAAACUUUAAAUAUUAUAUCUUCAACAAAAGUUUAAAAAAAAAACUUUCAACAACGGAUCUCUUGGUUCUCGCAUCGAUGAAGAACGCAGCGAAUUGCGAUACGUAAUAUGACUUGCAGACGUGAAUCAUUGAAUUUUUGAACGCACAUUGCGCCUUAAGGUAUUCCUCAAGGCAUGCGUGGAUGAGCGAUAUUUACUCUCAAACCUUCGGUUUGGUCUUGUAACCACAAAAUAUCAAAUGGCUGUAGAAUAAGUUUUACACCAACUACUCC
Molecule: unclassified non-coding RNA, 283 nt
Filed under: Metschnikowia sp. 1 NJ-2015
Lineage: Eukaryota; Fungi; Ascomycota; Pichiomycetes; Serinales; Metschnikowiaceae
Description: sequence contains 18S rRNA gene, ITS1, 5.8S rRNA gene, ITS2
Rfam family: 5.8S ribosomal RNA (bases 54-203)
About the family: 5.8S ribosomal RNA (5.8S rRNA) is a component of the large subunit of the eukaryotic ribosome. It is transcribed by RNA polymerase I as part of the 45S precursor that also contains 18S and 28S rRNA.
Source: RNAcentral